Molecule: long non-coding RNA, 834 nt
Filed under: Homo sapiens (human)
Lineage: Eukaryota; Metazoa; Chordata; Mammalia; Primates; Hominidae
Description: HSALNT0260215
Source: RNAcentral
GCCUUAAAAGUCCAAUCCCUUUCCUGACAUGUGAAUUCCAACAGCAACAUCUGUGCAGAGAGGAGGCCGGCCUCCCCUUGAAGCCCUCCCAAGGUGAGGAGCUCACCUCUCAAGAGUUCAGCUUGCAAGAGGCCCUCUACGAGGGUGGGAGAGCGGAGGAUUACGCGGAGCAACUCAGGAACCUCUCCAGAGCCAGUGUACCCUAAGAUUUCCCACUUGCUGAGUCUACUGUCUCCAUCCCACCAUCCCCAAGGCCUCCUCUCUGGCUGCUGUCAACUCAUGUGAUACCUCAGUCAGCACCAGGCACAGGUGAGCACCUGAGUCCCCUGAGUAUACACACUCUGGCUCCUUGGGGAACAGACACCUGCUGGCUCUGCAAAGGACACAGAGCACAUGCUCUGAAUGCCCCAAGGGGACAUCAAAAGCACUAACAGUUCACACCUAUGGAGCACUCCCUGUGUCCUGAACUCCAUGCUAAGCUUGCCUUUAUUAACCUGUUUCAUCCUCACAACAGCCCUAAAAGCAGGUGCUACUAUCGGCCUCAUUUCACACCUGAGGAAACUGAGCCACAAAAAGAUGAGACAACUUGUCCAAGAUCAUCCAGGUGGGAAACAGCAGUGCUAGGGUCUGAACCCAGGCUCUCUGGCUCCAGAGUCCGUGCUCCUGACCAUUUCAGUGUGCUGCCUGUCACAUGAUCCAGAGGGCACAUUUACUCGCACUGUCACCAUGCAGAGAGUACAUGCACUCAGACACACACACACAUGCACAAGUACCAAGUCACAAAAAGGGUGGUGACUGGGCUGUGAUAUGAGCCUUUCUCCACCCCCCCACCCU